RNAcentral lists this long non-coding RNA (3804 nucleotides) under Musa acuminata (dwarf banana). RNAcentral describes it as "long non-coding RNA (MACU_LNC005867)". Lineage: Eukaryota; Viridiplantae; Streptophyta; Magnoliopsida; Zingiberales; Musaceae. The record is from RNAcentral.
AUAGAAUGCCGCAACCAAACUUGCAUCAAGAAUUAGGUGACCUCAUGCAAUAUUUUUCAAGAAAAGGGCCUCUUACACAAUUGACAAAGGUUAUAUUCAGAUGCGCUAUUUGGUGGAUGUGGAAGGAAAGAUGUAGCAGAAUCUUUGAGUGUCAACACACAAACAAUGCUCAGCUAUUGUCAGAGAUUAUUAGAGACUCAAGAUCAUGUAUGGAAAAUGAUCUCAAAAUGGAGCACCUUACACAAAGACAAAAAGAUAUUUUUAUCAAAUUCAAUUUUGCUAUUAGCUAAAGAUCUUGGGAAAUGCUUCAAAAAGCAUUCUAUUUGAUUAUGAUUUCAUUUAAUUCUGCUACAUAUCAUGGCCUGCUAGUAUUUGUUCAUAUACAAAGGUUAUUCCGCAUUAUAUCCCAUCAACUGGUAUCAAAGCAAGGGUUUUGAUGAUUUAAUUUUUGUAUUUGAACAUGGAGACCAGUAAUGUUUCUCAUAUGAUUAGUUUAAAUAGAAACAAUUAGAUGAUAUAAAAACAAAGAAUGGAAGAUCUCUUGUAUUAUAAAGAUUUGUAUGGACAUUUAUAGGGGGAUAGUGCAAAACCCACAACUAUGACAGAUGAUAAGUGGAAGAUGUUAGAUCGAAAAACAUUUGGGUUUAUUCGAUAGUGACUUGAUGAUAGUGUCUUUCAUCAUGUUUCUACUGAAAUUUCUGCAUAUUCUCUUUGGAAAAAGUUGGAAAGUUUCGAUGAAACAAAAAAUAUGGCAACAAAGCUUUUUUGAUCAGAAAACUUGUGAACCUAAAAUAUAGAGAGGGUGCUUCUAUUGCUGAGCAUUUGAAUGAAAUGCAAAGUAUUACUAACUAGUUAUCCUCUAUGAAAAUGUCUCUUGAUGAUGAGUUACGGGCAUUGUUACUUCUUAGUUCAUUACUAGAAAGUUGGGAGACAUUGGUGGUUUCCCUCAGUAAUUCUGUGCUAGAUGAUGUUAUCACUAUAAGUCAAGUAACAAGCAGUUUGUUGAAUGAGGAGUUGAGAAGAAAGAGUUCAGCAACAUCUCAAAAUGAUUCACAGGCACUUAUCUCAGAGAACAGAGAAAGGUCAAAGUCUAGAAGCAGUUUACGCAUGAGUAGGAGCAAGUCAAGAUCAAGAAAAUAUAUUGUUUGCUAUAACUGUGGUGAGAAAGGACAUUACAAGAACCAAUGUAAGCAACCUAAGAAGAGCAAGAAAAAGGAAAAAAAAAAGUGGAGUAUAUAGAGUCAAAAGAUAAUAUCACAACUAUAGUGCAGGGUGGUGAUUAUUUGAUUUUGUCUCCUUCUGGUGAUAUUUUUUCUUGUGUGUGUUAGGAUCUUAAGUGGGUGAUUGACACAGGUGCUUCUUAUCAUGCUACACUACGGAGGGAGUUUUUUGCUACAUAUAGGUCUGGAAAUUUUGGUGUUGUCAAGAUGGGCAACUAUGGGGCACAAUAGACAUUAUAGGCAUGGGUGAUAAUCAUUUAAAGACCAACCUUGGCUGUAAGUUGGUGCUUAAGGAUGUGAGGUAUGUGGUUGAUUUGAGGUUAAAUUUAAUUUCAGUUGGAAGGCUAGAUGAUGAAGACUAUGAUAACAGAUUUCACAAAGGGCAAUGGAAGCUCAGCAAGGGUUCUCUUGUUAUAGCUAAUGGAAAGAAAUGUCAUACUUUGUACAGGUUGCAGGCUAAAACUUAUGGUGGGCAGUUAAAUGCUACAGAAAAAUACUUCAGCAUGGAGUUGUGGCAUAGGUGAUUGGGACACAUGAGCGAGAAGGGGCUGCAAGCUCUUUCCAAGAGAGAGGUAUUGCCAGACCUUAGUGGUAUACAUCUGAACCCUUGUAUUGAUUGUUUGGUUGGUAAACAACAUAGAGUUUCAUUUGCUAAUCCUAUUUUAUCUAGAAAAAUGCAUGCCUUAGACCGUGUUUAUACAGAUGUAUGUGGUCCUUUGAGGGCAAAAACUCCUGGUGGAUCUAUUGAUGUUCUUAGUAUAAGUGGUGCACUUUAUUUUGUCACUUUUAAAGAUAAUUUUUUCAGGAAAGUUUGGGCCUAUGCUUUGAAGACCAAAGAUCAAAUUAUUAAUGUCUUUAAAGAGUUUCAUGCUAGGGUUGAAAGGGAGACAAAAAGGCAAUUGAAAUGCAUAAGAUCAGAUAAUGAUGGUGAGUAUAUAUGAUUAUUUAAUGAUUAUUCUUAUUACUCAUAAUCAUAAUCAUCAAUAAGAAACUUCAGUAAAAAACCUGACUAAUAUUCUAAAUGAUUUUGGUAUAGUUUCUAGCCUUCAGUUAAAUCAUGCGAAAAGUAAAGUCUAUAUUAGCCCUUGCAUUGAGGAUAAAGAUGUUAUUGCACAUACCCUAGGGGUUAGUGAGGGAAAUCUGCCAGUUACAUAUCUUGGUCUCCCACUCAUAUCCACUGAUAUUCACAAAACCCAUUGUCAACCUAUCCUGCAAAAAAUAAAGAAUAGAAUUUCCUCCUGAAAAAAUAGGCUUCUUUCAAAAGCAAGACGACUUGAACUCAUUCGUUCGGUGUUGUACUCUUACUCUAUAUAUUGGUUUAAUACAUUUCUUCUGCCUAUUGGACUUCUCCAAGAUAAUGAACGAUUAUUAAUAAACUUCUUCUGGACUGGCACAAAUGAUAAGACAAUGCAUAUGGUAAAUUGGGACAACAUCUGCAAACCGAAAGAUGAAGGGGGGCUGAACUUGAGAAAUACUAGAGAUGAGAAUAAAGCAUGUUUGGUAAAGCAAUUGUGGGACCUUUUGUAAAACAAAUGUUCCUUAUGGUCACAAUGAGUUUCUGAUAGGUAUCUUUCAAAGGAAUCGAAUUGGGAAAUUUCAACAAGAACAUACCACUCUGCAGCUUGGAAAGGAAUUUUAAAGGCAAGAAAUUGGCUAAUCAAACAUAUUUCUUACGCAAUCUCUAUUGGAACAAAUACUAAUAUAUGGUAUGAUCCUUGGGUGAAUGAGAAAAGUAUAUUUUAAUUAUAUGGUGACAAAAUACGAAAAGACCUUGGGGCUCCCAAAGAUUUGAAGGUUUCCGAGUUCAUUGCUAAUGGUACUUGGUGUCUCCCUACUCCUAUUUCUCCUGAAAUGUUAUCACUUUGGCCGACUAUCACAGCUAUUCUAAUCAAGAACAACCCUUCAUAUGUACUUAUUUGGCUUCAUGACAAUGGUAAAUUUAGUGCCACAUCAGUAUGGAAUCAAAUUAAGCAAAGAAAUAACAAGUGGCUCCCGAGCAGUUGGACAUGGGAUCGACCGGGAUCACAGAGACAUUCCUUAUGUACAUGGCAGGCCCUUCUGAAUAAACUACCUACAAUAGACAAUAUGAAACGAAGAGGUAUCCAUCAUGUUAACCGAUGCUCCCUUUGCAUGCAACAAGAAGAAACUGUUGACCAUCUUUAUUUUGUUUGUGACUAUACUAAAUGGAUAUGGAAGGAGAUUCUCCAGCGAUUCGAACUCAAUAGAAUGUCGUAACCAAACUUGCAUAAGAAUUAGGUGACCUCAUGCAAUGUUUUUCAAGAAAAUGGCCUCUUACACAAUUGACAAAGGUUAUAUUCAGAUGCGCUAUUUGGUGGAUGUGGAAGGAAAGAUAUAGCAGAAUCUUUGAGUGUCAACACACAAACAAUGCUUAGCUCUUGAUAGAGAUUAUUAGAGACUCAAGAUCAUGUAUGGAGAACGAUCUCAAAAUGGAGCACCUUACACAAAGAGAAAAAGAUAUUUUUAUCAAAUUCAAUUUUGCUAUUAGCUAAAGAUCUUGGGCAUGAUGUUAAAAGCUAUACCCACAGGAAAUCUUGGCAUAUAUGGACUUUAAAUUUUAUUUGUU